This is a non-coding RNA of Lepisosteus oculatus (spotted gar), 678 nucleotides long. Lineage: Eukaryota; Metazoa; Chordata; Actinopteri; Semionotiformes; Lepisosteidae. The record is from RefSeq and is a predicted model, not a curated record.
AACCUCUGUCUCUAGCAGUGGCUGCUCCUUGUUUUUUACUGUUUUCCCAGCCCAUUUUCCCUCUUCCUGACUCACAAUAGGCCUUUCUCUUUGUUUGCGGUUUUCUGAGACAUGUUGCUACAGAGUGGUCCAAGAAAUCGCACGUACUGACUGCAGAAGAGCUGCCUUGAAUAGAAAAUGAAGGAAGUUUGUUUUGGCACAUUUUUGUCUCUCAGCUUGUGUCAUGCCUUCUCAGUUUGCUUUGCAGGGCUUAUGUCAGUAAAUAGUUAAUAAUUAGAGUCAGAUGAAGCAUACUGCAAAGUAUCCGAGCACUAAGCUUGAGUAUUCGAAGUAAAUGACUGGUCUCUUUCACUACUGCUACUUACUAAAAGUAGGUAUUUUGAAGGUGGCACUAGGGAAGAACACGUCGCACAGACAUUGACCUCUGGGAAAGAAAAUGGGUAGCACUUCAGGACUGGAUGGUGAAAAGCUCACCAAUAAAGAAAGGAUUUGCAACACAGACAUGAAGACCAAAACAGCCUGCUGUUCAAAAUUAAAGAUGUUCAUUGUGGCACUGUCCUUUGCCUAUUUUUCCAAAGCCUUGUCGGGUACAUACAUGAAGAGCUCCAUAACACAGAUAGAGAGAAGAUUUGACCUCUCAAGUUCCCACAUUGGACUCAUUGAUGGAAGUUUUGAAAU